Non-coding RNA from Bos taurus (domestic cattle), 73 nucleotides. Lineage: Eukaryota; Metazoa; Chordata; Mammalia; Artiodactyla; Bovidae. The record is from Rfam.
UCCUUGGUGGUCCAGUGUCUGAGACUCUGCACUCCCAAUGCAGGGGACCCAGGUUCAAUACCUGGUCAGGGAA